GACGAACGCUGGCGGCGUGCUUAACACAUGCAAGUCGAACGGUGAAGCGCCUUCCUUUUUGGUGGGUGUGGAUGAGUGGCGAACGGGUGAGUAACACGUGAGUAACCUGCCCCCUUCUUCUGGAUAACCGCAUGAAAGUGUGGCUAAUACGGGAUAUUCUGGGUCUGUCGCAUGAUGGGUCUGGGAAAGAUAUUGUUUCGGUGGGGGAUGGGCUCGCGGCCUAUCAGCUUGUUGGUGGGGUGAUGGCCUACCAUGGCGGUGACGGGUAGCCGGCCUGAGAGGGUGGACGGUCACACUGGGACUGAGACACGGCCCAGACUCCUACGGGAGGCAGCAGUGGGGAAUAUUGCACAAUGGGCGCAAGCCUGAUGCAGCGACGCCGCGUGAGGGAUGGAGGCCUUCGGGUUGUGAACCUCUUUCGCCAGUGAAGCAGGCCUGCCUCGUUUGUGGGUGGGUUGACGGUAGCUGGAUAAGAAGCGCCGGCUAACUACGUG
Molecule: ribosomal RNA, 494 nt
Filed under: uncultured bacterium
Lineage: Bacteria
Description: partial 16S ribosomal RNA
Rfam family: Bacterial small subunit ribosomal RNA
Source: RNAcentral